UACGUAGGGUGCAAGCGUUGUCCGGAAUUAUUGGGCGUAAAGAGCUCGUAGGCGGUUUGUCGCGUCUGCUGUGAAAACCCGAGGCUCAACCUCGGGCCUGCAGUGGGUACGGGCAGACUAGAGUGCGGUAGGGGAGAUUGGAAUUCCUGGUGUAGCGGUGGAAUGCGCAGAUAUCAGGAGGAACACCAAUGGCGAAGGCAGAUCUCUGGGCCGUAACUGACGCUGAGGAGCGAAGGCAUGGGGAGCGAUCCGG
RNAcentral lists this ribosomal RNA (253 nucleotides) under uncultured bacterium. Its description in RNAcentral is "partial 16S ribosomal RNA". It matches the Rfam family "Bacterial small subunit ribosomal RNA", at positions 524 to 776 of the family's 1533-position model. The record is from RNAcentral.